UACAUAGGGGUCAAGCGUUGUCUGGAAUCAUUGGGCGUAAAGAGUAUGUAGGCGGCUAUUUAAGUCGGGCGUGUAAGCCCACGGCUCAACCGUGGAAUUGCGUUUGAAACUAUUUAGCUUGAGUACAGGAGAGGAAGGCGGAAUUCCCAGUGUAGCGGUGAAAUGCAUUGAUAUUGGGAAGAACACCGGUGGCGAAGGCGGCCUUCUGGUCUGUUACUGACGCUGAGAUACGAAAGCCAGGGGAGCAAAGGGG
Molecule: ribosomal RNA, 253 nt
Filed under: uncultured bacterium
Lineage: Bacteria
Description: partial 16S ribosomal RNA
Rfam family: Bacterial small subunit ribosomal RNA
Source: RNAcentral